This 468-nucleotide ribosomal RNA is filed under the name uncultured bacterium. RNAcentral's name for it is "partial 16S ribosomal RNA". It matches the Rfam family "Bacterial small subunit ribosomal RNA", at positions 28 to 507 of the family's 1533-position model. The record is from RNAcentral.
GACGAACGCUGGCGGCGUGCUUAACACAUGCAAGUCGAACGGAAAGGCCCUGCUUUUGUGGGGUGCUCGAGUGGCGAACGGGUGAGUAACACGUGAGUAACCUGCCCUUGACUUUGGGAUAACUUCAGGAAACUGGGGCUAAUACCGGAUAGGGGCUCCUGCUGCAUGGUGGGGGUUGGAAAGUUUCGGCGGUUGAGGAUGGACUCGCGGCUUAUCAGCUUGUUGGUGGGGUAGUGGCUUACCAAGGCUUUGACGGGUAGCCGGCCUGAGAGGGUGACCGGCCACAUUGGGACUGAGAUACGGCCCAGACUCCUACGGGAGGCAGCAGUGGGGAAUAUUGCACAAUGGGCGGAAGCCUGAUGCAGCAACGCCGCGUGCGGGAUGACGGCCUUCGGGUUGUAAACCGCUUUCGCCUGUGACGAAGCGUAAGUGACGGUAAUGGGUAAAGAAGCACCGGCUAACUACGUG